This 497-nucleotide ribosomal RNA is filed under the name uncultured bacterium. RNAcentral describes it as "partial 16S ribosomal RNA". It matches the Rfam family "Bacterial small subunit ribosomal RNA", at positions 28 to 507 of the family's 1533-position model. The record is from RNAcentral.
GAUGAACGCUGGCGGCGUGCCUAAUACAUGCAAGUCGAGCGAACAGACGAGGAGCUUGCUCCUUUGACGUUAGCGGCGGACGGGUGAGUAACACGUGGAUAACCUACCUAUAAGACUGGGAUAACUUCGGGAAACCGGAGCUAAUACCGGAUAACAUGUUGAACCGCAUGGUUCAACAGUGAAAGAAGGUCUUGCUGUCACUUAUAGAUGGAUCCGCGCCGCAUUAGCUAGUUGGUAAGGUAACGGCUUACCAAGGCAACGAUGCGUAGCCGACCUGAGAGGGUGAUCGGCCACACUGGAACUGAGACACGGUCCAGACUCCUACGGGAGGCAGCAGUAGGGAAUCUUCCGCAAUGGGCGAAAGCCUGACGGAGCAACGCCGCGUGAGUGAAGAAGGUCUUCGGAUCGUAAAACUCUGUUAUUAGGGAAGAACAAAUGUGUAAGUAACUAUGCACGUCUUGACGGUACCUAAUCAGAAAGCCACGGCUAACUACGUG